GCUUUUUCUGGGAACAGCAAAGCAGAAAGAUAGGUCAGCUUUAUCACCCUGGAUUCAGAGGACAGAGAGGCACAGAAAAAAAUGUAUUAUGUCAGUGGCUUUUCACCCCUCUUCAGUCAUGGGCAACUUUGGGAGAACCGGAGGAAGGAAGGCUGUGGACCCUCUCCUAGAAAAACGCACCGACAGAAGUUUUCAGAUGCUCUAUAGGUGUCUCUUGGACCCAGGAAGGCUGUUCAUGGACCCCGGGUCAAGAAACCAUGGACCGUGGGUCAAGAAACCCUGCUUAGGUCAUGCCUUGAAUGUCCUUCAAGUGGUUCCAAAUGCUGAUUCUAACUUCCUCACUGGUGCAAAUAUAAUUAUUCCCCAGAAGGGGUUGCUGCCAUUUCUCACAUAUUAUCGACCCUCCUUUAGGAGGGCACAGGUUUGGAGCUCUUUCCACAGUGGCAGUGAUGGACUUGGCACCUAGUUUCCCUUGUAUCAAAGGGAACGUGUUGGGGGGAAGAAACAAAAACAAAAACAAAAACAGCUGGCCUGAGACAGACUAAAGUGUUCAGAGGACAAGGAAAACACAGCCACGCCCAUACUCAUUUGACACAGACUCCAGCUUCUUCACCCUCCUUCCCUGCUGAAGUGGUACGUUUAUAACAUACUUUUCUUUCAAAACACAUGUGUUUGAGCUAGCGCUACGGCGUGUUUAGGCUGUAUUAUCCACCAAAGACGGACAAAAGUCUAAGUCAGAAUGAUGCGGUCACUGUCGAAAAUGACAGGAGCUUCAUUUCAGAUCAGCUUCUCAAGGAGCCAGCAGGAGGUGAGAGCAUUUAGAUUGGGUAUUAGACUGACAUCACUCAAAGAAACAGUGCCAACGGAGUCCAGAGGUAGACUGGAAGCAUCAUUGGUAUUCCCCUUGAAUGCACUCAAGACAACACUGGCAUUGCCUCUGGACUAAAUAAUCUUUAAGGUCUUCUCAAAGCUCCCAGGACUGGCAUGUCAAUUGUCAUCAGGGGGCCCUAGCACUAUAACCCAACCAAAACCAUAUAAUACCAGAAUGAAUGGGCCUUUCUACACCACCUAGAUUGAUGUUCUGCAAAAAUACACCACAUGUAGGGCACUGGAUCUAGGAAAUCCUUACCAUGUGUUCUGUUUCCUAUUCAUUGCCUUCUGGUGAAUUAGAAGGCAGAGAACCUCAGAGCCCAGAGAGACCUUUGCAUUCAUACACCUCAUUUUACAGAUGCAAAACCAGAAGCCAGGAGGGGUUGAGGGACCAGCAUAAAAUGAUUUUGCUAAUUAGAGGCAAAGCCGAGAUUAGACUUCUGAUGUGAUUAACUCCCAGUCCAGUGCCUACUGAUGGAACCAGACUUCAAGUUACUCAACAAUUUCCCAGCUCAAACAAAGUUGCCAGAGUCCCCCCCGCCCCGCCCCUCCAACCUACCCCCUCAUAACAAAAUCAACCAGACUAACCCCCAUAAAGAACAGGCCAUCCUGCUUCCCUUCUAGAAAGGAAGACUGAGAAUAAAAAAGUGUCACUAUGCGAUCUGUCCGGGAAUUCCUAACCUUCAGUAAUAAGCAGUGACACCUCUGUGACAUCUUCCCAGGACAGAGAGAGUCAAUUGUGUCUUCUAAGAUGAGCCACUUGGGCCAACCAUGGAAAUGCCAGUCAAGAAGAUGACUAGGUUUCCCCUCCUUCCAUCCCCUCCUCCCCAACUGAGGGAGAAAUGAUGGUGUUGCUUGUUCACUGGAAAUUUUCAGGGAUGAGGAAGCUGAAAGGAGGAAAGGCUGCUGUCCGCUCUAAUCACGUCUCAGAAACAUUCAGCCCCACCUGACUGGGGUCCCAGUCCCAGGUAUGCUCAACGCGGCAAAACGGAGGACACAGGGCAGUCAGUAAGAGCAGUUACAGUGGAGAACAUAUUUUGGCACAAAUCUAAGUCAGCACGAUUUCCACCCCCGUUCUGGGAUCAGUAUAUUCCCUAAAAACACACAAGAAGACCCAAAGAAAUACAAUCCUUCCUUAUGAAAAGUAGUCAUGUGCUCUAACUCCCAAGAGGGCACUCAGUGUAUAAAGUGGGAACAGGGAAAAAUUAUUUGAUCCAUGCAUGUUUACAUGGUCCCCUCCUCAUCUCCUCAGAAAAGCCAUCUAGAAAAAAAAAGUGAUAAUUUACUGAUAUUGUUGAAACUGCAAAUGAAAAUUCCAAGUAUUUUUGCACGGAAGUAUUGUGACCAGAUAAAUCACUUGAGAACCACGGGAAUGUCUUCCCCAUUUCAUAAAUUUCCAGACUGGAUAUGAUAGCAGGACUGGGUGACGGCAGUUGAGUCCCUCUGAGAAUCCAGGAACUUAUGUAUCACUGGCCUAGUUUUGUUUAUAGAUAUAUAUAAAAAUCCAAAGCCCGAAAGGAGAUUUUGCCAUCAAUCAUUAAAUUCAUCUAAUUGCUGGCAAUGGACACACCAUUCCCCCCGCCGCCACACACACACCAUAAAUUGUCCUCCACAAACACAUAAUAAAAGUAAAGUGAACUAAAUGUUUGUGAGACACUUGUGAGGUCAUAAAUUAGGGUGGGGACACAACUGCGACCCACAUGAGGCUGAGGUUGGCAAAGGAGGACUGCAAGUAUGUGAAAGCUGGGGGACAUUCCCCGGCUCUCAGAGGUGGGCAGAAGGGACGAUGGCACAGGACAGGAUUCGUUUGGUGGCAGAGAGGGAGGUAUGAAUAACCCAGAGGGCAGACACUUGUGAGCCUCUGGUGGGCUGCCCAGAGUGCCUGUCUACAUGCCCAGGAAUCAAGGCUCACAUACAAAGACUGUUGAUGCUUACGGUCAAAUUCACUUCUGCCAAGGAACGGAAACAACCGACAGAGGGGACAUUGCUCUCUCUACAUGAAGCCACCGCGACAAACACGUAGGAUCUGAACAUGAGGAGACAGGAUGUGAGCACGGCAAAGCCCAUCUUUCGAGGGUUCCUUUUGAUAUUUGGGGGGCAGGUAUCAUGCGGGAAGAAAGCGUAGGCACAUUCUGGUGCUUCAGGGGAACAGGAACUGGUCCUGGUGUUCACGAUCAAGUGAGAGCACACACAUGCUGAGAGGCAAUCGGCAUGCGGCUAAAAUCUUUUCCAUUCUUUGACUUUCCUUUUACUAGAAUCUGUGUCUGCGAUGGCACAUCAUGGACACAUCUGCGUAAACAGUUGCAGCCCGUUAAGUGCAGCCAAGGAUGUAGACAGAGCACAACCUCCCCCCUCUCUCAGACAGAACGGCAGGGGCACACUCAGAACUUCCAUAUUCUUCCCUCUCUGAGUCAUGGCCACGGCAGCUUUUCCUUGUAGGACAAUGGUUGACGACGAGCUUUGUCUGAGACCCAAGCCGUCCUGCCCAUCCGGUUCCCUGUUACUGCUGCUCCCUACACUUCUCCAGCCCACGCACCCCCACACCCCACUCCCAAGAGGGGUGGGACCAACGGCAGCAUCAGCAAGUGUCUCUUCCUCAUUCAGGUUUGCCGGGGAGUGUGUUCUCCUGCACCCUUUGGGUGUGUGGAAAGGAAUUGUGUUCAUUUCUCCCUCAGCUCCGAUCAGUUCACAAUCAACAAGUAUUUGCAGUAUUUACACCUCCAAAGUGCUUAGCACGGAGCAGGUGUGGCAGGGGUACAGGAAAAGAAAGGCACAGAAGCUCUAUAUUCAAGGCCCUUAGGCUUUACUUAAAAAGAACAACCCAUCAUUAUGCAACAUAAGACAGGUGCACCACUGAAGAUGUGUGCCAUGUCACAUAUACAAUCUAGGAUCCACAAGUCCCUCCUCUGGGCUCCCGUAGCUAAUGGUGUGCUUAUUGUAACAGCAUUUACUGAGUGCUGAUUAUGUAUCAGGCAGGUUCUCAUGCAUCAACUAAGUGUCAAAAGAGAUAGCUACUAUUUUUCAAAUAAAGAAAAUGGGCAUAAAAUAGACAUAGGUCAACAGAAGAGAAUAAAAAAAAAAAACCACAGAAAUAAACCCAUAGGUAGAUGGUCAAUUAAUCUUCAGCAAAGGAGGCAAGAAUAUCCAACGGCAAAAGUCUCUUCAAUAAAUGGCGCUGGGAAAACUGGGCAGCAGCACACAAAAGAAUAAAACUGGACCAUUUUCUUACACCACACACAAAAGUAAAUUCAAAAUGGACUAAAGACCUAAAUGUGAGACUUGAAACCACAAAAGUCCUAGAAGACAGCACAGGCAGUCAUUUCUCUGACACCAGCCAUAGCAACAUUUUUCUAGAUAUGUCUCCUGAGGCAAGGGAAACAAAAGCAAAAUUAAACUAUUGGGACUCCAUCAAAAUAAAAAGCUUCUGCACAGUGAAGGAAACCAUCAACAAAGCUAAAAGGCAACCUACUGAAGGGGAGAAGAUAUUUGCAAAUGACAUGUCUGAUAAAGGGUUUGUGUCCAAAAUAAAGAACUUGUACAACUCAACACCCCAAAAAACAAAUAAUCCAGUAUAAAAAUAGGCAGAACACAUUAAGAGCCAUUUCUCCAGAGAAGACAUCCAUAUGGCCAACAGACACAUGAAAAGAUUCUCAUGAUCACUUACCGUCAGGGAAAUGCAAAUUGAAACUACAGUAAGAUAUCACCUCACAUCUGUCAGAAUGGCUUAAGUCAAAAACACAAGAAACAACAAGUGUUGGUGAGGGUGUGGAGAAAUGGGAACCCUCUUGCACUGUUGGUGGGGAUGCAAACUGGUGCAGCUACGGUGGAAAAUAGUAGGGAGGUUCCUCAACACUUAAAAAUAGAACUACCCUAUGAUCAAGUAAUCACACUACUGGGCAUUUCCACAAAAAAUACAAAAUCACUAAAUCAAGAGAUAUGUUCACACCUAUGGUUUAUUGCAGAAUUAUUUACAAUAGCCAAAUUAUGGAAGCAGCCCAAGUGUCCAUUGAUAAAUAUUUAUGCAAUGGAAUACUAUUCGAGCAGGAAAAAAGAAUGAAAUCUUGCCAUUUGUAACAACAUGGGUAUUAGGCUAAGUGAAAUGAUUCAGUCGGAGAAAGGCAAAUGCCAUGUGACUUCAUUCAUAGGUGGAAUUUAAGAAACAAAACAAAUGAGCAAAGGAAAAAAAAAUAGAGACAAACCAAGAAUCAGACUCAACUAUAGGGAACAAACUAAUGGUCACCAGAGGGGAGGCGGGUGGGGGAUGGGUGAGAUAGGUGAUGGGGAUUAAGGAGGGCACUUGCAAUGAGCCCUGGGUGAUGUAUGGAAGUGAUGAAUUACUAUGUUGUACACCUGAAACUAACAUUACACUGUAUGAUAAUGACCCUGGAAUUAAAAUAAGAGCUUAAUUUUAAAAUUUUGAAGUCAAAAAAUAAAAGCAAAUAAAUAAUUUUUUCAAGGAAAAAGCUCAAGGUCCCAUGGCUGGUAAGUGGUGGAUCAGGCCUCAUACACUGAGGCAGUGCAGCUUCCGAGGCAGCCUACCUUAGCCCCGGACUCAUAAUGACAUCGGUCUUUGUACAGGUCUGUUUCUUCCUGGGGAAGGAGUAGCUCCUGUUUAUUGCCACAGUUCUCAACCCCACAGUGUUGAGAACACAGAAGCCAUUAUUUGAUAGUUGCUUAUUAAAGUGAUCUGGGGAGGGGCACCUGGGUGGCUCAGUCGGUUAAGCAACUGACUCUUGGUUUGGGCUCGGGUCAUGAUCGCACGGUUCAUGAGUUUGAGCCCUGCAUCGGGCUCUGUGCAGACAGCGUGGAACCUACUUGAGAUUCUCUCUCUUUCCCUAUUUCUCUCUCUCUCUUUCUCUCUCUCUCUCUCUCUCUCUCUCUCUCGCUUCCCCUCCCCUGCUCACGUGGUCUCUGUCUCUCUCUAAACAAAUAAACUUUAAAAAAAAGUGAUAUGGGGAGGGGUAUGCAGGAGCAGCCAAGAUGGGGAGCUGGAGAGCAAAAUACACAAAGCUGUCAGAGCAGCAGCAAGGCCAGGUGGAAACCGGACGUCACCAGCCUGCAGAAGCCCCAGUUGGCCUGGCAUGGAGCCACCUUCCCUCCAGGCAGCUCUGCUGUGGGGCCGGAGCUAAGGAAGCAGGAUGGGGACAAGCACAGGGACACAGAUGGAGGUGAGUGUGGAGGGCAGGGGGACAAGCGCAAGAGGAACACGAGGCACAGCCUCUCCAUUUUGCCUCCUGUGUGCAAACGGCAGCUGUUGAGGCAGCCAGGAUGUGAGAGCAGUGAGCUAGCAAUUUACCCAAUGCUAUCUCCGUGGCCUAUGAAAAUUGAAGAAAAAAAAAAAAAGAAAACAGAAACUAAGUGCUGGCGAGGACGUAGAGAAAAUUGGAACCCAUGUGCAUUGCUGGUGGGAAUGUAAAAUUGUGCAGCAUUGUGGAAAACAGUCUGGCAGGUCCUCAAACUAUGAAACGUAGAAUUACCAUAUGACCCAGCAAUUCCACUUCUAGAUGCGUACUCAAAGGAAAUGAAAACAGGGAGUCAAACAGAUAUUCGGAUACCUGCACUCACAGCGGCGGUGUUCACGAUAGCUAAAAGGCGAAGCAACCCAAGUGUUCACUAACAGAUGAAUAGGUAAACAAAAUGUAGUACACAUACACCCAGUGGACUAUCAUUCAGCCUUAAAAAGGAAAGAGAUUCUGGAGUGUCUGGGUGGUUUAGUCGGUUGAGAGUCCGACUUUGGCUCAGGCCGUGAUCUCACAGUUCAUGAGUUCGAGCCCUGCAUCAGGCUUUGUGCUGACAGUGUGGAGCCUGGAGCCUGCUUCGAGUUCUGCGUCUCCCUCUCUCUGCCCCUCCCCUGUCCUGCUCUGUCUCUUCUCUCUCUCUC
This is a long non-coding RNA of Neofelis nebulosa (Clouded leopard), 6751 nucleotides long. RefSeq lists it as uncharacterized. The record is from RefSeq and is a predicted model, not a curated record. Lineage: Eukaryota; Metazoa; Chordata; Mammalia; Carnivora; Felidae. The transcript has 3 exons.